RNAcentral lists this ribosomal RNA (465 nucleotides) under uncultured bacterium. RNAcentral's name for it is "partial 16S ribosomal RNA". It matches the Rfam family "Bacterial small subunit ribosomal RNA", at positions 338 to 795 of the family's 1533-position model. The record is from RNAcentral.
CCUACGGGCGGCAGCAGUAGGGAAUCUUCCACAAUGGACGAAAGUCUGAUGGAGCAACGCCGCGUGAGUGAAGGAGGGUUUCGGCUCGUAAAGCCCUGUUGGUAGUGAAGAAAGUUAGAGGUAGUAACUGGCCUUUAUUUGACGGUAAUUACUUAGAAAGUAACGGCUAACUACGUGCCAGCAGCCGCGGUAAUACGUAGGUGGCAAGCGGUGUCCGGAUUUAUUGGGCGUAAAGGGAGUGCAGGCGGUUCAAUAAGUCUGAUGUGAAAGCCUUCGGCUCAACCGGAGAAUUGCAUGAGGAACUGUUGAACUUGAGUGCAGAAGAGGAGAGUGGAACUCCAUGUGUAGCGGUGGAAUGCGUAGAUAUAUGGAAGAACACCAGUGGCGAAGGCGGCUCUCUGGUCUGCAACUGACGCUGAGGCUCGAAAGCAUGGGUAGCGAACAGGAUUAGAUACCCCUGUAGUC